GUACGCGGCAUCGACUCUGUCGUUGCCAAUGCUACCAGAAAGAUGACCAAACUUGAUCAUUUAGAGGAAGUAAAGGUCGUAACAAGGUUUCCGUAGGUGAAGCUGCGGAAGGAUCAGUA
RNAcentral lists this ribosomal RNA (119 nucleotides) under Podisma pedestris. RNAcentral describes it as "partial 18S ribosomal RNA". It matches the Rfam family "Eukaryotic small subunit ribosomal RNA", at positions 1718 to 1831 of the family's 1831-position model. Lineage: Eukaryota; Metazoa; Arthropoda; Insecta; Orthoptera; Acrididae. The record is from RNAcentral.